CUACGGGGGGCAGCAGGCGCGAAACCUUUACAAUGCACGCAAGUGUGAUAAGGGGAUCCUAAGUGCUCAUACAUUGUAUGGGCUUUUGCCAAGUGUAAAUAACUUGGAGAAUAAGUGGUGGGUAAGACUGGUGCCAGCCGCCGCGGUAACACCAGCGCCACGAGUGGCAACCACGUUUAUUGGGCCUAAAGCGUCCGUAGCCGGCUAGGUAAAUCUUUUGUGAAAUCGUCAAGCUCAACUUGACGGCGCGCUUGAGACACUGCCUUGCUUGAGACCGGGAGGAGUCAGAGGUAUUCCAGGGGGAGCGGUAAAAUGUGAUAAUCCCUGGAGGAUCACCUAUGGCGAAGGCAUCUGACCAGAACGGAUCUGACGGUGAGGGACGAAGGCUGGGGGAGCGAUCCGGAUUAGAUACCCGCGUAGUC
This 422-nucleotide ribosomal RNA is filed under the name uncultured archaeon. RNAcentral describes it as "partial 16S ribosomal RNA". It matches the Rfam family "Archaeal small subunit ribosomal RNA", at positions 323 to 746 of the family's 1478-position model. The record is from RNAcentral.